Molecule: ribosomal RNA, 417 nt
Filed under: bacterium enrichment culture clone ALO1_GLFRUDD03G4AHU
Lineage: Bacteria
Description: bacterial SSU rRNA
Rfam family: Bacterial small subunit ribosomal RNA
Source: RNAcentral
GAGUUUGAUCUUGGCUCAGAUUGAACGCUGGCGGCAUGCCUUACACAUGCAAGUCGAACGGCAGCACGGGAGCUUGCUCCUGGUGGCGAGUGGCGAACGGGUGAGUAAUGCAUCGGAACGUAUCCUGGAGUGGGGGAUAACGUAGCGAAAGUUACGCUAAUACCGCAUAUUCUGUGAGCAGGAAAGCGGGGGACCUUCGGGCCUCGCGCUCUAGGAGCGGCCGAUGUCGGAUUAGCUAGUUGGUGAGGUAAAGGCUCACCAAGGCGACGAUCCGUAGCAGGUCUGAGAGGAUGAUCUGCCACACUGGAACUGAGACACGGUCCAGACUCCUACGGGAGGCAGCAGUGGGAAUUUUGGACAAUGGGGGCAACCCUGAUCCAGCCAUGCCGCGUGAGUGAAGAAGGCCUCGGUUGUAAG